UGGUAAUGAAAAUUCUUGUAAAUGAAAUGAGCCAACCAUUUUGAAGCUGCAAAACAAACGAUAGCCAUUGAUACCAUUGUUGUUUUAACCACCAUUGAUAUCAUGUUUUGCUUUGUUACAGCAACGAUGCCAAUCAAACCAACAGACAUGAUUUGUAGUAUUACUUCGAGUGCCUUGAGACAUUAUGUGCAGUAUUACAACUCUUACAAUUCACCACAUGACUCCAAUACCUGCAAAACAAGAACAAAGGUUAUAAGGUAUGUUACCCGGGUUCAGAGCGUUGGAUUCACGUACAUAUUCGAUACAGGUAUGUUCAUAUGUUAGGAUACAAGCUCCCAUAUUUCGAGAAAAGUGAAGAGUCAGAGCAAUAUAAGGACAAAGUUACUAAAUUUACCUGUCCAUUAGUUGUUCUCUAGGAGGGGACGGAGGAAGAGCUCCACUAUACUUCCCUUUCCAAUCAAUCUCACCGCCGGCAUACUUGUUGAACCACCUUCGGAAACCGACUACUAAGGCAUCCGACUUUGUAGGCACGAAACAAGCUUUUUGCCAACUGGUAGCCCCGAUUUCCAUUAUUUUACGCUCCUACAUGGAGAAAUAAGGUGUAAAACAAAACGAAGUUUACCAGGCAAGAAUAUUUGCAUAUAGCUAUGUGUUAAACAUGAGUUCUUCAUAUAUUUAGAGGGUCCUUAAAAGUUGAUUGUCCAAAUAAGCAUGGAAUAUGAUUGUCAGAUACUGAGUACUCAUAAAAAAAGUGAAUGUACCUAAGAGGCCUCUCUGUUAUAGGGAUUUGAUCAAAUUAGUCCUUCAACUAUUAAAUAGAUCAAUUUAGUCCCUUUACUAUUAAAAAGAAUCAAAUAAGACCAAAUUAGAAUAGAGUUAAAAUUUACUAUUUUAAAAAGUUAAUAUUUUUAAAGUUUUUACGAUUUUGUAAAUAAAAUCUUUUGUUUAGAUUUGAGUUGCAAUUGAAAAAUAAUAAUUUUCAAUACAUUUUUUAGAUAGUGAAUGUUAACUCUAUUACAAUUUGGACUUAUUUGAUUCUUUUUAAUACUAUAAGGACUAAAUUAAUCCAUUUAAUAAUAGAGGGGACUAAUUUGAUCCAGUACCUAUACAGGUACUUUAACCCAUAAACAAAUGAAAAGUCGAAGCCAUAUAGAUUUUUUGAAUGAAACUCAUCAAAGAGCCAGAGAUAUAGGAAUCACCUCAACAUGAAGAAGAUACAAAUCGGAAUCAAGAAUCAAGUUUAGUCCAAUGUGAAUUAUCCAUCUUGGAACCAUUUUGUCAAUCGAAACACCAAAGUUUCUCGGGAAAGUCCAAAUCAAUCUACUAUUACCUGGACUAACCGGAACACACAUAAAAAUCAAAGAAAAUCUUCGAUUCGGUGGCAGUGCCUGCAAAAAAAUACUUCUUUAUUGGUAAACAACACUCGGAAAACAAAUAAUAUACUGGACCUGACAGUCCACCGGUUCAACCAGUUCAACCUGCUGAUAAAUAGCAAUAUAUAGUGAAGUGAAUGCAGAACCUUUACAAUUUCGGAAGAUGUUGCAGAUCCAUUUUCUUGAUCAACUUCGACAUCAGUAAAAGCAUGAAAGAUGCAAGGUGCAAUAAAGUUAGAACUAUCCAAAUCUUGCUUUCCAAGAAAACCAUUUAUGUCCAACUUCUUAACUUUCAUAUCAAGUGGUCUACCCCCUUCUCUAUCAACCUUCACUGUGAACCAAAAUGUGCAAUUUUAGAUGCAAGAAUUCGAUAUCGCGAAAAUACAUACAUCAAGAACCUCUUACCGGUUGGGGUCCGAGUGCACAUUAUACCAUAAUGUGCAUAUGGAACAUGAGCAGGAUCCAUAAGAUUUUCAACCAGUACCUCGUACCUGAAAAUGCAAACUUAGUUUCUUCAACAAAUUUCAGCAACUAUUGAUGAUUUACAUCCACUACAUUACUCUCUUCAUUUUUCUUAGAGUACUCGCAUAAUUUGCAUACCCAUAAGGGAUAUCUCUGUUUACCAUCGACUUUGAAAAUGAAGGAUCAUCUAAUACAGGAAAGUAAGGAGGCUUUUUCUUUGUUAUAAUAUCUUUGUAUUGAGGAUCAGCAUUUGGCCAAACCCAUACAAUAUCAUGUUGCACAACACUUGGAUAAACAGCCACACAUGCUUUCUUGAAUGUAUGGACCUGCAAAUUUGAAAACCAAAGUUAAAAUAAGAGAACCCUUUUUGCCAAUAAUGCCACACAUUACAAGCAAUUGCUUAUUACUGUUGAGGGGAGGCCGGACUCUUUAUUAGGAGAAGUUUUCAAAGUAUCAUGAGCAGACGAACCCCUCAAUGGUUGAGGUAUUGUGCUCAAGGUGUCUAUGCUCGGUUUGUCUCUCGACUCCGCAGGGAGCCCUGACAGGUCCAUAAAGUGAGAACACCUUGCCCACCAAGGAAAUAAGAGCAUUUGGCCUUGGUGGGUUUGAAACCAUGCCCUUAUAUGGCAUUAGUAGGUAAGAAUAGUACCACUUGAGCUAGUGACCUCCCCUCAACAAUUAUAAUAUCAACACUUUAAAAGAGGAUCAGUAUGUAAAUACACUAUACUAAUUGAAGUUAGGAGAUUAGUGAAGAAUACUAUACGUCCACACAUUCAUUUUUCUUAAAAUAGUCGUGUCUGACAUUCAAUCCAACACACAAAUUCGUAGAUAUGAUCCCGAGUCGUAUCUUCAAAUAUAUACAUGUAUUCAAUACUCAUACCCGAGUCAGAGUAAACACCCAUACCUAUGUCCUUACAUGUAUAGAUAUAUCAUACAUGUAGGAGAAUUAAACCCCAGAAAGUUCCAAAUAAUCCUAACAUUAGAACAGCAAAAACAGAACAUAAUUAAACAUGAUGAUAUGAACUAAAAGAAAAGGGUUACCGGGGGUCCAUCUACGGGAGCUUGAGGAAUGAUUUUGCAGUCACCGUUGCCACCAAAACACCAACCAUGGUACACACAUUGUAACCUCCCCCAUUGAUCAAUUCUUCCCUCAGAUAAAGGAGCUAAUCUAUGAGGACAAGUAUCAUCGAACACUUUCCAUUCAUUCUCGUUCUUAUCCCACCAAACCACUAGAUCAAGUCCUAAUACUUUCUUACCAUGUGGCACCCUCUUAUCCAAAUCACUUACAGGCAUCACCGGAUACCACUGUGAGUACCAAUCGAAUCUCUCUUUACCGACCUCAGCCUCAACUUCCGGCAUAGGUGGCUCAAUAGACUCCGUUGUUGAUAUUGGGGACGAUGAUAAGGUCGUAAACAACCUGGAUUUCGAUCCAUUUCUUGUAAAACAUGGUAAUUGUAAGUUCAAAUUGUGAAAGAUGGGUUUAGAAAACUGGGUUUUGUUUCUUGUUGUUGUUGGAAUGUAUGGUGAAUAAACUAUGGUAGGAGAAGCUUUGAGAACAUCCAGGGAGGAUUAUAUAUGUUGGUUUAUUUUUCUUUUGUAUUUUAACGAUUAUGGCGUUCUUAAAAAGCUUAAAAGCAAAGAGAAAACGAAGAAGAGUGAAAGAACUUGAGGCUGAAAGAGGAUGAGCGUGUGAGUAAAUGAAACGCGUGAUGGAGGUAGACUGUGUGAGUAAAGAACUUGAGGCUGUGAGGAAAUGAAACUGAGUGAUGUGAUGUGAUCUUAGUGAGGCUAAAAAUGAAUUACAAAACAGUGCUUAUUGAAAAGUCGAGGAAAUAAAACAACAAAUAGUAAUCAAUGAACACUCCCAAAGCAAAGACUUUGAAAUGUUUGCAUUUUGCAAAAGUCAACAUGACUUUGUAGGAUUACAAUGGUAGGAUUACAAUUGACUAGAUUUCUCCGUCUCGAAAGUGAGCUAAAAAAUGAGAAAGUUUGGGUAAAAAUAUAUAUUAAAAAGUAAAUUUAGGCAAAAAAUAAGGUUCAUUUUUUAAACAGAUCGUAUCUCGGAUAAGUUUUUUUGACCUAAGCCCGGCCUGGCUCAGAUACCCUUAACAAAGUAUCGAUACCCUUCCCAAAAGUAUCGACACCCUGCUUGAGAAUCAAUACCUUAGGGAAGGUAUCGAUAUCUCAUAAUAAGUAUCGAUACAUUUCCUAUUGUAUCAAUAUUAUAGGCUUUAAUAUGGGCCGAAAAGGAUCGGACCCAAGUUUAGCAUCUAUAAUCUAGGUUGAGUUUGGGCAAAAAUUUAAGCCUAUUUUUUGAAUCGAGCCCGGGCUUAUUAAUUGGACCUAAAAUUUUAUUAGGGCUUAACCCGAACCAGCCCAUGAACAACUCUACGAGGGAGGAACCAAUAAAAUAAAUGUGUUGAAAUUAGGCUCAAUUUAUACUACUUUAAAUAAUAGCUUUUUUAAAUUCGGAAUAAUCUUGAUCGCCAAAAUUAACAUGUGAAAAUUAAAAUUAACUUUUAGAAAGAAAAAAAAAGUUAAAUAUUCAAUUUGUAUUAAAUAUUUUAAUUAUUUAAGCAUUAAAUAUUUUACCAAAUUAAUAUUUAAAUCCUACUUUGUAUUAGUUUAUCAAAUUAAACUAAAAAUAUUAUUAAAUUUAUCAUAAAAAUUUAUAAUUUUAUAAAAAAAUCAAGUUAAAAGAAACUCUGGAAAACUUUGGGGGUGGAACACAAAUUUACCCUAUUUUUAAGCAUUAAUUAUAAGGUUAAUAAAAAAAAUUAAAACUUAAAUGGGUUGAAUUGAAAUUUUAUAAAAUUUAGGGGCAUCCUGUAAUGCCCCUUACCCGUAUUCAACGCCGAAACAGGGUUCGAGGCAUUACCGGACUUAAACACAAGAAAUCAUACGAUUCCGAGCCAUGAGAAUUAAUCUACAUUAAAACCAUUCAAAAACAAUAUGCUCAACAUUCAAUAACAUAAUUCAACUUGCAUGCAUGAUACAAGACUUUAUCACUUCACUUACUCCUUUGCAACUUUACCACAUUUCAAUCACAUACCGAACACAUUACUCAUGAGUAUACACAUAUAUAUAUAUAUGCACUUAUCACCACAUAGUCACACAUAAUUUCACUUAGUCGAUUUUCCCGAUGAACACUUCGGAAUAAUAACAGAUACACGGUGGUUCCGCACAUAGCACCACCCUUAUGAUCAAUGCUAUCCGGUAUACAUAGUAGCCUACACUUAGUACUACACAUAUGACCAAUACCAUCCGAUACACGUAGUAGCCUGCACAUAGUACUACACACGUGACCGAAGCUAUCCAGUACACAUAGUAGCCUGCACUUAAUAUUACAUAUGUGACCAUAACUAUCUUAUACUCAUAGUAGCCUACACAUAGUACUACACAUGAUUUCUCAUGAUGUCUUUCGUAUCCUUUUCUAUUCUGAAAGUUCAACCGGGAAAUUUGUCACUUAUUCUCACUUUGUCAAUUUCAACCAUAGUCAAUCUCAAUUCAUAAUUUACAUCAAAUAAUCAUUCAAUAUACAACCACAUCUCAUGUAAUAUAACAAAAUAUUAUAACAUAAGUAAAAACGAUAUAUUAUUUACAUACAAACUAGAGGUGAUCAUGGGUUGGGCUACCCAGCCCGGCCCGACGACCCGCCCGAAAAAUGGGAGGGUUUGGGUAAAAAUAUAGACCCGAAAUAUAGGUUUGGGCAAAAAAACGAGGCCCCUUGGGUAAAAUUAUUUUGGUCCAAGCCCGGCCUGAAUUAUAUAUUAAAUAUUUAUUUUUUAUUUUUAAUCAAUUAUAUAUAUUUUAUAUAUAUUUAAUAUGGGUCGGGCCGGGCCAGGCUCAGCAAUUUUUUUCGGGCCGGGCUUGGACAAAUUUUUAGGCCCAUAUUUCGGGCCAAGCAGGGCCCGAGCCUAGAAAAUGGGCCUAAAUUUUUAUCUGGGCCAGGCCCAAACUCAGCCCAGUCCGCCCCAUGAUCACCUCUAAUACAAACUUACCUCGACACCAAAAGGGCAAAAAGGGACAUAACCGUCAAUUCUCGUUUUUCCCCCGUUCUAGGUCCGAACCUCAUUUUCUUUGAUCUAUAAUAUCAUAUUUAGCCUAAUUAUUAGUCACAUUAUUCAAAUCAGUCCACAAUUCAUAUGUUGGUAAAAUUAUUGUUUUGCCCCUAAACUUUCACAUAUUUACAAAUUAGUCCCUAGGCUCGUAAAACGAAAUUUAUGGAAUUUCAUCCAUAUCAAAGACUAACCGAAUUAUUUAGGUGCUCAUAGCAGCCCAUAUAAUCCCCAAUUUCACUCAUAUAACUCAAAAUCUUCAUACUUUACAAAUUAACCCCUAAUAGCAUUUUACAACAAAAAUCACUUAACAAGAAAUGUUCAACACACAACAAGGUUUCAUUUUACUCCAUUAAACUUCACAAUCAACUAUCAUGCUUUCAUUUCCCAAAACCCUAGCCUUUCAAUCAUCUUGCAAAUUAGUCCCCUAUUUAGCUAGCUUAAGCUUCAAUGGUUCCAAAAACAUAUAAAUCAACAAAAACAAACAUAAAUUUCACUUACAUGCAAGGGUUUAAAUUUGCUAAAAAUUUGAGUUCUCCAAUGGCUAUUCUCUUGGUAAAAAACGGUGGAAGAAGAUGAGCAAAUGAAUAAAAAUAAUAUUUUUAUUUCUUUUUGUUUAUUUUAUCAUAUUUCGUUAUGUAUAGAUGAUGAGAUUCCAUUGAUACAGAGCCAAUUCCAAUAGACUUAUUGGAGGGUCCCAUUGGCGUGCAUCCAGUAGGAAUUGAACCUACGAAUUCGCCAAUUAUGAGUUGGGCGCUUUAACCAUUCAGCCAUGGAUGCUUAGCGAGGAUCCUCGUACAUGGUGAAUAACCAAAUUCCAAUUGGAUUGAAAUCUUUAGGAUAAAUCAAUGCAAUUUUGGAGGAAUCAAUGAAAGGACAUCAAUUCAAAUCCUGGAUUUUCGAAUUGAGAGAGAUCAAGAAUUCUCACUAUUUCUUAGAUUCAUGGACUCAAUUCAAUUCAAUGGGAUCUUUCAUUCACAUUUUUUUCCACCAAAAAUGUUUUAUAAAACUCUUAGACCCCCGAAUUUGGAGUAUCCUACUUUCACGCAAUUCACACCAACCUAACCCAUCCAACAUCAUAAUUACACUCCAUGUGCAUCCACUUUCUCUUUUAAUGAUCUAAUUACUCAAUAAGGACCUCAAAUUUUAAGUUCUAUAGCUAAUUAACACAUUUAGCUAAUAGAACAUAACUUUAGCACUUUACGCGAUUUAGUCCUUUUGACUAAAUUGAGUGCCCAAAAGUCGAAAUUUUCAAACGAUAUUUCACGAAAUUAUUCCGUAAAAUUGUAGACUAUAAAAAUAUAGUAAAAUAAAUUUUCUUACGUCGGAUUUAGGGUCCCAAAAUUACUAUUCCGACUAGGCCCAAAAUCGGGUUGUUACACAUCCCUAGUGGUAAGGUGAAAAGUCAUCGUGUGGAUAAAAAGAUAGAGAGAGUGGUUAAAAGAAAGAGAAAGAAAGUAGGAAAAAUGUUCUCUUGUAUUGUUUUUAUAGUCUCUUCCGUGCAAUGAUAAGUCGUAUAUAUGACAUCUCACAAUGUUCUCUUGUAUUGUUUUUAUAGUCUCUUCAGUACAAUGAUAAAUCAUAUAUAUGACAUCUCACAUGUCAUGACAUCACUAGCAAAAAGGUCACGUCUUGUCUUCUCACAGGUGCGGGAAUGCGAAUUCAAAGGUGGGUAAUGCAACGCCUUAAUAUGGUUAAACAAUUAACGGGUGUAAGGUUACAUAUACUCUUAACGAAGUUAGUCUAUAAUGAAGGUUCGUUCACCUUACCAUAGAGCCACUUGAUGUUAUGAGUUCAAUCAAUAGAAUUAGAUUUUUUAAAACCUUGUUCAUGGCAUGUAAUCUAGAACAUUUAAAUGUAGAGUUGAAAACACAUAAAAUAUGUAUAUUUAAUUUCUAAUCAUUGUUGGUAUAGAAAAAAAAAAAAGAUGUUCAACUAGCUUUUAACCUUACAUACAAAGUAAAGGGUGUCAUAUUCACAUAAACUUACACAAAAGCAUGGUUAUAGUCAUGGUAAUGAAAAUUCUUGUAAAUGAAAUGAGCCAACCAUUUUGAAGCUGCAAAACAAACGAUAGCCAUUGAUACCAUUGUUGUUUUAACCACCAUUGAUAUCAUGUUUUGCUUUGUUACAGCAACGAUGCCAAUCAAACCAACAGACGUGAUUUGUAGUAUUACUUCGAGUGCCUUGAGACCUUUAUGUGCAGUAUUACAACUCUUACAAUUCACCACAUGACUCCAAUACCUG
RNAcentral lists this long non-coding RNA (8137 nucleotides) under Gossypium barbadense (sea-island cotton). RNAcentral describes it as "long non-coding RNA (GBAR_LNC018230)". Lineage: Eukaryota; Viridiplantae; Streptophyta; Magnoliopsida; Malvales; Malvaceae. The record is from RNAcentral.